Molecule: ribosomal RNA, 460 nt
Filed under: uncultured bacterium
Lineage: Bacteria
Description: partial 16S ribosomal RNA
Rfam family: Bacterial small subunit ribosomal RNA
Source: RNAcentral
CCUACGGGCGGCAGCAGUGAGGAAUAUUGGUCAAUGGACGAGAGUCUGAACCAGCCAAGUAGCGUGAAGGAUGACUGCCCUAUGGGUUGUAAACUUCUUUUAUAUGGGAAUAAAAUGUUCCACGUGUGGGAUUUUGUAUGUACCAUAUGAAUAAGGAUCGGCUAACUCCGUGCCAGCAGCCGCGGUAAUACGGAGGAUCCGAGCGUUAUCCGGAUUUAUUGGGUUUAAAGGGAGCGUAGGUGGAUUGUUAAGUCAGUUGUGAAAGUUUGCGGCUCAACCGUAAAAUUGCAGUUGAAACUGGCAGUCUUGAGUACAGUAGAGGUGGGCGGAAUUCGUGGUGUAGCGGUGAAAUGCUUAGAUAUCACGAAGAACUCCGAUUGCGAAGGCAGUUCACUGGACUGCAACGGACACUGAGGCUCGAAAGUGUGGGUAUCAAACAGGAUUAGAUACCCCUGUAGUC